GUAAGUUUCUGACUAUCCAUUUACAAGACAGUCAUGUUUAUUGCUCCUAAACAACAAAGUACUCAGCACAGGAUAGCAGAGAACCCUGAAGGAAGAGGUGCCAGGAGAGAUGAAAGGAAAUAUCAUGGGAAUGGAGUGCUGUUCAGCCUGCGGAAUGUCUGGAAUAUCUGAGAAGCAGCAGGACAACAGUCGAUGCCUCUAGUGGGAAUAAAAGUCAAUUGAAUAUCUACCAGACAAGAUAGAAUUUGCAUAUCCAUCAGUUACAAAGAGGGAAGAAGUAGCUCAAAGACAAUGAAAAGGACCAAAAUCUGAUAAUCCAUAA
RNAcentral lists this long non-coding RNA (322 nucleotides) under Homo sapiens (human). RNAcentral describes it as "HSALNT0407198". The record is from RNAcentral. Lineage: Eukaryota; Metazoa; Chordata; Mammalia; Primates; Hominidae.